ACAACAUUUGGACCGUCGGUCUACGGAGCAAUAUCACCUGCUCGGUGGAAGAUCUUCCCUCCACCGU
This 67-nucleotide microRNA precursor is filed under the name Bombyx mori (domestic silkworm). Its description in RNAcentral is "mir-2774 microRNA precursor family". It matches the Rfam family "mir-2774 microRNA precursor family". The record is from Rfam by way of RNAcentral. Lineage: Eukaryota; Metazoa; Arthropoda; Insecta; Lepidoptera; Bombycidae.